This 390-nucleotide unclassified non-coding RNA is filed under the name soil metagenome. RNAcentral's name for it is "partial contains 5.8S ribosomal RNA, internal transcribed spacer 2, and large subunit ribosomal RNA". The stretch from base 1 to 122 matches the Rfam family "5.8S ribosomal RNA", at positions 35 to 154 of the family's 154-position model. The record is from RNAcentral.
GAUGAAGAACGUAGCGAAAUGCGAUACUUGGUGUGAAUUGCAGAAUCCCGUGAACCAUCGAGUCUUUGAACGCAAGUUGCGCCCGAAGCCAUUAGGCCGAGGGCACGCCUGCCUGGGCGUCACACGUCGUUGCCCCCCCAUCUACUCCUUCGGGAUUGCGAGGGGCGGAUGAUGGCCUCCCGUGCGCCUCGUCGCGCGGUUGGCAUAAAUGCCAAGUCCUCGGCGACGCACGCCACGACAAUCGGUGGUUGCGAAACCUCGGUUGCCCGUCGUGUGCGGUCGUCGCGCAUCGAGGGCUCGAAAAAAUUGCCGGGCUCCGGCUCGGCUUUCAACGCAACCCCAGGUCAGGCGGGGUUACCCGCUGAAUUUAAGCAUAUCAAUAGCGGAGGA